GGGAGUCACCACACCAGAUACAUCGUACUCAGAUAUGGCUGCUGGAUCAGAAAAGGAAGUGGAAGCCCCCUACCUUUCAAGACGAAGUGGCACUACACCAGGAUGUGAAAGUCCAGCGAAAGAGACCCAAGGGGCCUAGGGGGCAGCACACCCCCAGAAGCCAAGUCUAUUCCAGGCAGUACCAGGGAUUAGGGUCUGGGCUGGAAAAAUCCUGGUGUUUUGAAUAUGUUCAGGUCCAGUUCAGACUCUUGAUCCCACAGCCACUUCUUGAGUGAGCCCUGAAUCUGUGGAGGCUAGUCCAGCAGUUAAUGAGAAGAGCCUGUACUCCACUCAUAAUUAUGGGACCACUCAGAGGCAUGGGUGUCGAGGACUGCCUUAUGCUGAUCAUAAUUACGGAGCCCCUCCUCCUCCGACACCUCCUGCUUCUCCCCCUGUCCAG
Molecule: long non-coding RNA, 439 nt
Filed under: Rattus norvegicus (Norway rat)
Lineage: Eukaryota; Metazoa; Chordata; Mammalia; Rodentia; Muridae
Description: long non-coding RNA NONRATT020775
Source: RNAcentral